UCCGUUCCCAUCCCGAACACGGUAGUUAAGCUUCUCUGCGCCAAUGGUAGUUGGGGGCUUCCCCCUGCGAGAGUAGGUCGCUGCCGGGC
Molecule: ribosomal RNA, 89 nt
Filed under: Listeria monocytogenes
Lineage: Bacteria; Bacillati; Bacillota; Bacilli; Caryophanales; Listeriaceae
Source: RNAcentral